UACGGAGGGUGCAAGCGUUAUCCGGAUUCACUGGGUUUAAAGGGGGCGUAGGAGGGCAGGUAAGUCAGUGGUGAAAUCUCCAAGCUUAACUUGGAAACUGCCGUUGAUACUAUCUGUCUUGAAUAUUGUGGAGGUGAGCGGAAUAUGUCAUGUAGCGGUGAAAUGCUUAGAUAUGACAUAGAACACCAAUUGCGAAGGCAGCUCACUACACAAUCAUUGACUCUGAGGCACGAAAGCGUGGGGAUCAAACAGG
RNAcentral lists this ribosomal RNA (253 nucleotides) under uncultured bacterium. RNAcentral describes it as "partial 16S ribosomal RNA". It matches the Rfam family "Bacterial small subunit ribosomal RNA", at positions 524 to 776 of the family's 1533-position model. The record is from RNAcentral.